Molecule: RNA transcript, 2220 nt
Organism: Triticum aestivum (bread wheat)
Lineage: Eukaryota; Viridiplantae; Streptophyta; Magnoliopsida; Poales; Poaceae
Exons: 3
Source: RefSeq, a predicted model, not a curated record
UACAAAUGCGCCCAUGAUACGAAGAUAGCGUAGGCACCAGGCGCAUAGUUGUCUUGUCCCGUACCAAAGCGCGCGCAAAAGAAGCAAAUUCCUCUUGCUACUUACCAUCUCCGAUAAAUUAUUCCUCCGUCUCCGAGAGCGAGGAGAGGGGCUCGCAAAAGGUGCGCCUCCCUGGCGCCCUCCCCACGAGCCAUCUCUCCUCUCAUAAUUGUUUGAUUUCCCUUCGGGAUACGGCCUCCAGUCUCGCCGUCCCCCCGCCCCGCGCCGCCAGAUCCCCCCGCCCCGUGAAACCGUCGUCCGGGAAAGGUGGUGGUGGUGGUGGUCUUGGCAAGAUCGGCAGAUGCAGCCCCCCAAAUGGAAGGCCGUGGAGGGCGGCGACCAGCGCCGCCGCUGCGUGGCGGCGUCGCUGUCCAUGCUGAUCGCGGCCACGCUGGCCUUCCUCGCCUACGUCGCCUUCUUCCCGGACGACGGCGCGGGCGGGGUCUACCGCUGGUGGAGCUGCCAGGGUUGCGGGGGCUCCCUGGGCGAGUUCCCGGCCGACGAGGACGCCGCGGCUGACGGGCCCGCCGCCGCCGCCGGCGGCGGCCGCGCGCCCACCACGCUGUCGCACAUCGUGUUCGGCAUCGGCGCCUCGGCGCGCACGUGGGACCAGCGCCGCGGCUACGCGGAGCUCUGGUGGCGGCCCGAGGCGAUGCGCGGCCACGUCUGGCUGGACGAGCAGCCCGCGGGCGCGUGGCCGGCGACGACGUGCCCGCCGUACCGCGUCUCGGCGGACGCGUCCCGGUUCGGGAACCGGGCGUCGGCCUCGCGGAUGGCGAGGAUCGUCGCGGACUCGUUCCUGGCCGUCUCCGCGGAGCUGGCGAACGGCACCGGGCAGGAGGAGGCGCCGCGGUGGUUCGUGAUGGGCGACGACGACACGGUGUUCUUCCCGGAGAACCUGGUGGCCGUGCUGCGCAAGUACGACGACGAGGAGAUGUACUACGUGGGGGCGGCGUCGGAGAGCGUGGAGCGGAGCUCGCCAAGGCCAUCGACGGCUGCCUGGACCGCUACUCGCAGUUCUACGGCAGCGAUCAGCGCGUGCAGGCCUGCCUCAGCGAGCUCGGCGUCCCGCUCACCCGCGAGCCCGGGUUCCACCAGGUGGACAUCCGGGGCGACGCGUACGGGAUGCUGGCGGCCCACCCGGUGGGGCCGGUGGUCUCGCUCCACCACCUGGACCACAUCGAGCCCAUCAGCCCCGUCGGCCACACCCCGCUGGCCGCGGUCCGGCCGCUGGUGAGGGCGGCCCGGUUCGACUCGGCCCGCCUGCUGCAGCAGGCCUUCGGCUACCAGCACGGCCCGGGCUACACCUGGUCCGUCUCCAUCGCGUGGGGCUACACGGUGCAGCUCUACCCGUGGGCCGUGGCGCCGCACGAGCUGGAGGUGCCGCUGCAGACGUUCAAGACCUGGCGGAGCUGGGCCAACGGGCCAUUCGUGUUCAACACCCGGCCCCUGAUGAGCACUGACACCCCGUGCUACCGGCCGGCCAUGUUCUUCCUCAGCCGUGUCCGGAAUGAGACCAGCCGGGGCACCGUGAGCGAGUACUCGAGGCACGCCACCAAGUCGGAGAAGGAGUGCGACCAGGCCAGCUUCCGCGCCGCCUCCACGGUUCACACCGUCAAGGUGUUCGCUCCCAAGAUGAACCAGAACGAGUGGAAACGGGCGCCACGGCGGCAUUGCUGUAAAACAACGAGGACGAGGUGGGGCACGGUGCUGGAGGUGCGGAUACGGUAUUGCAGCCGAGGAGAGCUCACCACGCCGUAGCUAUAUGUAUUGUUCUCGCCACUACAUCACCAGGGCCUACAGGACGGAGAAGAGUAGGAUGUUGAUAUUGGUAGUGAGAGAUAAUAAGGGGAUGGCAAAGGUGAAUAAUCCCCUCCGUGCUCGGAGGGACACGGAAACUUUUUGUUCCCAAACCAGCAGUACCUGGUAACACGUAGACUCUACUUCCCUGCUGGUGCUGGACAAUGUCGUCUUCAGUGUGUCCAGAUGGCUAUAUGACUUAUGCGACAGAUACACGGGCACGUAUACAUACAAAGCAGUGCAGGCGGUAGCAAUGUAUAGGAUCUGGCUACUUCCCACGUGCUGUGUUGCCUCUUUCUUGGUUCUCUGCUACUGAUGUGAUUCUACCGUUGGAAGAUGGCUGUUUUGGAAACGAAAUGGAAUAUAGGUUGAAAGAAAGCA